GCCCACAUAGCUCAGGGGUAGAGCACUUCCUUGGUAAGGAAGAGGUCGCUGGUUCGAUUCCAGUUGUGGGCACCA
Molecule: transfer RNA, 75 nt
Filed under: Legionella sp. 21-45-4
Lineage: Bacteria; Pseudomonadati; Pseudomonadota; Gammaproteobacteria; Legionellales; Legionellaceae
Description: tRNA-Thr
Rfam family: tRNA
About the family: Transfer RNA (tRNA) molecules are approximately 80 nucleotides in length. Their secondary structure includes four short double-helical elements and three loops (D, anti-codon, and T loops).
Source: RNAcentral